Molecule: ribosomal RNA, 211 nt
Filed under: uncultured bacterium
Lineage: Bacteria
Description: partial 16S ribosomal RNA
Rfam family: Bacterial small subunit ribosomal RNA
Source: RNAcentral
GCCUCUUAGCGGGGGAUAACUAUUGGAAACGAUAGCUAAUACCGCAUGAAAGUCGACAUUGCAUGAUGUUGACUUGAAAGGUGCAAAUGCAUCACUAAGAGAUGGACCUGCGUUGUAUUAGCUAGUUGGUGAGGUAACGGCUCACCAAGGCGACGAUACAUAGCCGACCUGAGAGGGUGAUCGGCCACACUGGGACUGAGACACGGCCCAG